GGGGGGGGACCGGUUCCCUUUUUAAAAAAAAAAAAAAAAGGUGAUUUAUGCUCUAAUCGGUCCUGAAGCUUCAUUAUUGGGAGCAUUAGCGUGCCCGAGCCGGUGGCCUUAUUUGUUCGUGCACUGAAAGCGGCAGCAGAUGUGCUCUUUUUCCUCUGCGACCCGAUCAGCUCGCUGAUUCGUCUACUUCCAUUUUCAUUUCCCUGUCAUUGAUUUAUUAAUGAUGUCUCACUUCCCCGGGGCUCUUUCGGAGGCUCCUAUGCCUCAGCCCCCGGAGAGAUGCUGGAGGAGGACGUCCAUCCCCCCUCCCCACCUCCGGCCCCUGCCCUUGGCAAACGUCCCUUUUCUAAAACCAUAUGCAUCCUCGUCGCACCAGAGAGUAGAUGCUUUAACCGUUUAGUUAAACCGAAGCAACCUCUGCGGCGUGCGACCCAGAAGAGCCCAGAAAAGCCAGGCUGGGCUUUGCGGGGCACCCAGGCGGGCCUGACCGCGGCGACGUCCAGUCCGCGCACCCCUGGGCACCGCUCUCCCAGCGCCCCUGCCCUCUUCCUCCUCCUCCUCCUCCUCCUCCUGCCGACCAUGGAGACGCCGAGGUCUUUGCUCCAGCGCCCGGCCCGCUGCUGGCUCCCGGCAAGCAGAGCUUUGGAAAACUGGAAAAAGAAAGCAAAUUCUGCAAGCAAACGGGCGAAACGAGACCCCGGAGAGGGAGAAGGCCGUUCGUAGAGGACGCGUGCUUUUGUUGAACCGGCCCCUAAGCGCCAGCGCUGGCAUCCUCCCAAGACACCCCUGUAAGCUGCUGCUCGAUCUUAGGUCUCCGGCUGGGGAAAUCCUGUCUGCUUUCAGUUCCUCGACCGAACAUCCGCGGGAGCCGUCCUUCGCUUCGGAGGGACCGAAGGAGCANNNNNNNNNNNNNNNNNNNNNNNNNNNNNNNNNNNNNNNNNNNNNNNNNNNNNNNNNNNNNNNNNNNNNUCCCCGGGCCGCGUCUCGGCAGCUUCCAGCCGGUGGAAGGCAGCUGGCAAAACGAGUUGGCUCGUUUUAUGUCUUGGUCUUUACUGGAAACGUGGCUUAGAUGCAUUUUUUUGGCUGGGGAGGGGGGAAAAAAAGCUUUGCCUGAAUUUUUUUUUUUCCCCCUGUGCUCCCUUGUGUUCCCGCGAUGAAAUCACUGCCCUGAGAAGGGCCCUGCGGGAGCCGGGGAUCCCCCUGCAUCUCCGCCUGGCGUUACCCACACGCGACACGAGCCCUGGCCGCUUUAGAAACCUACGCACCUUUCCGAAUCAACAAAUCAACGCUAACAUCGGUGUAAACCGGUGCGACCCGUCUAGGGAAUUCGCUGGGUAAUUCCGCUGCCUCCUGAUUCAUUUGCUUGUGCCUGCUUGAAGUGCAGAGACCUCAGGGUCCGAGCGGCGGCCUGAUUCCCGGGGUUUCCGCCGACGGCGUCGCCGAGAGGCCGCUCAGAUGUAGCCCGGCUUCAGCUCAGGGCAGCAAGUGGCUUUGUGUGCUCUGAGCACGGAAAACACCCACAAGCAGCCCCGGCCCCCGGCCGCGGUGGCCCCUGCUGUCCGCGCCGGAGACC
Molecule: long non-coding RNA, 1573 nt
Organism: Struthio camelus australis
Lineage: Eukaryota; Metazoa; Chordata; Aves; Struthioniformes; Struthionidae
Source: Ensembl